AACUUUCAGCAAUGGAUCUCUUGGCUCUCGCAUCGAUGAAGAACGCAGCGAAAUGCGAUACGUAAUGUGAAUUGCAGGAUUCAGUGAAUCAUCGAAUCUUUGAACGCACCUUGCGCCCUUUGGCAUUCCGAGGGGCACACCCGUUUGAGUGUCGUGACAUUCUCAAAAACAUUCUUUGGUUUCUUGACCAGGAAGGCUUUUGGAUUUUGGAGGCUUUUGCUGGCCUUCCUUCGUUGAUGCCAGCUCCUCUGAAAUGAAUUAGUGCGGUCUGCUUUGCCUAUCCUUGCCGUGACAAGAUGUUUUCUACGUCUUGGGUUUUGCACUGUUCCUGCUUCUACCCGUCUCAUAGACGACAAUGGUCAAGUGAUUGCCACUUCACCCACAAACCUUGACCUCAAAUCGGGUGAGACUACCCGCUGAACUUAAGCAUAUCAAUAAGCGGAGGCU
Molecule: unclassified non-coding RNA, 447 nt
Filed under: uncultured Russulaceae
Lineage: Eukaryota; Fungi; Basidiomycota; Agaricomycetes; Russulales; Russulaceae
Description: sequence contains ITS2
Rfam family: 5.8S ribosomal RNA (bases 1-154)
Source: RNAcentral